UUUGAGACUAAAUUCAUUUAGAGAGAUAUAGAUCUUUCUGUAUUCGAGUUCGAAUAUUCAACAUUCGAUUCCGUAUCUAUAUCUGAAUACUUAAAUCUUAUAUUUAUAAUGUCGGCAUCUAAUCAUAUCUUAUUUAACAUGGUUGACACUAUCCGUAUUUGAAUCCGAUUUCGACCAGAAAUAUGAAAACAAAUAUGAUAUCGAUUGAUAUCCACCCGCAUUUGAUCUGUUUUCAUCUCUAAUCUCCAAUAUUGUGAUGGCUACCUAUGUACUCGCUCCUCACUCCAUCAAGUCUUUUUAUUUUGCGAACGGGGUUAGAACUCGUGUUUUAUUAAGACGAAAGGUGGUUUUUUGUUACAACCGUUUGUUAGACCUGCUACAUCAACUCGGUUGCGAGAGGCAUCAAGAGUAUACAAUUAUAAAUCUAUAAAUCUACUACUAUAUAUAGUCCAAACUAAGUCAAAACUACUUCAAUUUUGACUUCCUUCCAAGUGUCUGGAUCGUUGGCUAGCUUAAGGUGACUUGGAGACGAUGAUGAAUUGGUGGUUGUGUUUGCCACUAGAGUGGGGAUUAGAGACAUCAAUAGUGGAGAUCUGUGCCAACUGCCAAGCAAGUAUGGGAGGAGAGCUGCCUUGUAAUAGGUUUAUCAUCUAAUUGGUAUAGAACUUACUGCCAUUGGAUUUCUUUUUUUCUUUAUUUUUUGCGAGGAACCGCCAUUGGAUUUCAAUCUUUUAGCUUUUUGUAACUUUGCCAUUUUGCAGGAUGAUGUAAAGGUAACAAGGAUUAAUUGGUUGAAUACGUAGCCCAUAAAGAGUCCGGAAACAGAACUAUUCUUUUUCUGAAAAGAAAUUAAGCCCUACCAGCUUCAAUUCCUUGAUGAAAGUCCAACACUUGACCGAAGCGGUUUUUUUUCCCUUAACGGCAUAUGCCCUCAAUCUCCCACCCAU
Molecule: long non-coding RNA, 947 nt
Filed under: Sorghum bicolor (sorghum)
Lineage: Eukaryota; Viridiplantae; Streptophyta; Magnoliopsida; Poales; Poaceae
Description: long non-coding RNA (SBIC_LNC000525)
Source: RNAcentral